UUGAACGCUGGCGGCAUGCCUUACACCUGCAAGUUGAACGGCAGCACGGGAGCAAUCCUGGUGGCGAGUGGCGAACGGGUGAGUAAUAUAUCGGAACGUGCCCCGUCGUGGGGGAUAACGCAGCGAAAGCUGUGCUAAUACCGCCUUCGAUUUUCGGAUGAAAGCGGGGGACCGCAAGGCCUCGCGCGAUUGGAGCGGCCGAUAUCCGAUUAGCUAGUUGGUGGGGUAAAGGCCCCCCCAGGCGACGAUCUGUAGCUGGUUUGAGAGGGCGGCCCGCCCCCCUGGAAAUGAGACCCGGUCCCGACUCCUUCGGGAGGCAGCCGUGGGGAAUUUUGGACAAUGGGCGCCAGCCUGAUCCCGCAAUGCCGCGUGCCGGAUGAAGGCCUUCGGGUUGUAAACUGCUUUUGUUCGGAACGAAACGGCGAGCUUUAAUAAAGUUUGCUAAUGACGGUACCGUAAGAAUAAGCCCCGGCUAACUACGUGCCCGCCGCCGCAG
RNAcentral lists this ribosomal RNA (496 nucleotides) under uncultured bacterium. RNAcentral's name for it is "bacterial SSU rRNA". It matches the Rfam family "Bacterial small subunit ribosomal RNA", at positions 30 to 520 of the family's 1533-position model. The record is from RNAcentral.